AACAAAGUCAAUUUUGACCAACUUGAUCUUAAACACCUACCAAAACCAGUUAAGCCAAAACCAGUCAUUCCUGGGAGUAAUGAAGGACAAGAACAGCUAGAAAAGAGGAGACAGCAACUAGGCCAACAGGCUCCAUGGGGAAUGUUCAGUCAAGUAUGGCCUUGGCUUCUCCCCCUCAUAGGACCCUUAUUAGUCCUCUUUAUGUUUCUCCUAAUAGGACCAUGUAUGUUAAAUUGCCUACAGAAGUUCCUGCAAGAUCAGAUACACAAAUUCACCAACCAGUCAGUCAAUCAAUUACUUCUUUAACACUACCAGCCCCUGAUGCCCAAGACAGAGACCUAUGACUCAUGAUCAACUCCUCUGGCUCCAGAGACUCUGCCCCCACCUAAAACCCUCCCUAACCCCUUUUCCAGAUUUUACAAUCCCUCUUUCACUUCCUAGGAAUGAGAACUACUCUCCUGCAGGUCCACUCUGAUUGUUCUGUCUGCUCUACAAUAUCCCCACAAGGAAGCAUCAAACCUAAACUCCCCAGGCAUCAGAUGAGGAGCCACUAGCCAGGCAAAGGCUGGUAGAUCAACUUCACUCAUAUGCCUAGGCACAAAAAGUUUCACUACCUACUUACUUUGGUUGAUACUUUUUCAGGUUGGAUAGAUGACUUCCCUACAUCCAGGGAAAUUGCUGACACCAUUGCCUCCAUCCUCAUUGAGGGGAUCAUUCCCAGGUUCGAACUUCCCACCUCCAUCCAGUGAGACAGUGGUCCAGCUCUCACUUCUCAGGUUGUUCAACUAGUCUCCAAAGGCCUCAACAUCACCUGGAGUCUCCACAUCUCCCACUAACCCCAAUCCUUGGGUAAGGUUGAGAGGCCUAACGGCAUUCUCAAAGAUCAUUUCACUAAACUUGCUAUUGAACUUAGGCUCUCCUGACCCAAUCUCCUGCCGUUGGCCCUCACCUGAUUUUAGGUAGCCCCAAGAGCUCCCUCAGGCCUUAGCCCCUUUGAUUAAUUCUAUGAGUACCCUUUCUUAACCACCCAAAGCUUUCCAAUCACUCCUCUUCCCCUUGUGUCCUACCUGUCCUAUCUCACACUUCUAUGCAAACUCCUAAGGGAACACACAGACGGGUGCCUUCCUGCACCUUGCCUCAAUCCCAGCACAACCACAAACUGAAUUGGACCCUCUUCAACUCGGUGACUCAGUCUUAAUUCAGGAACUACAUUCUCAAUCGUUGGAACCCUGAUGGACGGGACCCCAUACAGUCAUACUUACUACCCCAAUGGUAACCAAGCAUUUAGACACUCUCUCUGGUACUUAAAAAGGCACCUGUUCCAAAUGUCCAGUCCUGGACUUCCACCACGCCCACCAAACUCAAAAUUUCUCACCAACCCUCUUCUUCUUUUACUAAUCAUUAUUCUCUCUCAAGUUUUUAUCUCAAACCACAGAUGCCACUUCUACAACCAAACCACCAGGAUGACACCACCCACUCUCAGUUUAUGGGUCAAGGCGAUUGCUCUUCCACUGGCUGAAAUCGGGCUGUCACCCUUAACAUUACUGGAUUCAACC
This 1556-nucleotide long non-coding RNA is filed under the name Marmota monax (woodchuck). Lineage: Eukaryota; Metazoa; Chordata; Mammalia; Rodentia; Sciuridae. The record is from RNAcentral.